Molecule: ribosomal RNA, 2903 nt
Filed under: human gut metagenome
Also listed under: 1 other name
Description: bacterial LSU rRNA
Rfam family: Bacterial large subunit ribosomal RNA
Source: RNAcentral
UUAAGCGACUAAGCGUACACGGUGGAUGCCCUGGCAGUCAGAGGCGAUGAAGGACGUGCUAAUCUGCGAUAAGCGUCGGUAAGGUGAUAUGAACCGUUAUAACCGGCGAUUUCCGAAUGGGGAAACCCAGUGUGAUUCGUCACACUAUCAUUAACUGAAUCCAUAGGUUAAUGAGGCGAACCGGGGGAACUGAAACAUCUAAGUACCCCGAGGAAAAGAAAUCAACCGAGAUUCCCCCAGUAGCGGCGAGCGAACGGGGAGCAGCCCAGAGCCUGAAUCAGUGUGUGUGUUAGUGGAAGCGUCUGGAAAGGCGCGCGAUACAGGGUGACAGCCCCGUACACAAAAAUGCACAUGCUGUGAGCUCGAUGAGUAGGGCGGGACACGUGGUAUCCUGUCUGAAUAUGGGGGGACCAUCCUCCAAGGCUAAAUACUCCUGACUGACCGAUAGUGAACCAGUACCGUGAGGGAAAGGCGAAAAGAACCCCGGCGAGGGGAGUGAAAAAGAACCUGAAACCGUGUACGUACAAGCAGUGGGAGCCUCUUUAUGGGGUGACUGCGUACCUUUUGUAUAAUGGGUCAGCGACUUAUAUUCUGUAGCAAGGUUAACCGAAUAGGGGAGCCGAAGGGAAACCGAGUCUUAACUGGGCGUUAAGUUGCAGGGUAUAGACCCGAAACCCGGUGAUCUAGCCAUGGGCAGGUUGAAGGUUGGGUAACACUAACUGGAGGACCGAACCGACUAAUGUUGAAAAAUUAGCGGAUGACUUGUGGCUGGGGGUGAAAGGCCAAUCAAACCGGGAGAUAGCUGGUUCUCCCCGAAAGCUAUUUAGGUAGCGCCUCGUGAAUUCAUCUCCGGGGGUAGAGCACUGUUUCGGCAAGGGGGUCAUCCCGACUUACCAACCCGAUGCAAACUGCGAAUACCGGAGAAUGUUAUCACGGGAGACACACGGCGGGUGCUAACGUCCGUCGUGAAGAGGGAAACAACCCAGACCGCCAGCUAAGGUCCCAAAGUCAUGGUUAAGUGGGAAACGAUGUGGGAAGGCCCAGACAGCCAGGAUGUUGGCUUAGAAGCAGCCAUCAUUUAAAGAAAGCGUAAUAGCUCACUGGUCGAGUCGGCCUGCGCGGAAGAUGUAACGGGGCUAAACCAUGCACCGAAGCUGCGGCAGCGACGCUUAUGCGUUGUUGGGUAGGGGAGCGUUCUGUAAGCCUGCGAAGGUGUACUGUGAGGUAUGCUGGAGGUAUCAGAAGUGCGAAUGCUGACAUAAGUAACGAUAAAGCGGGUGAAAAGCCCGCUCGCCGGAAGACCAAGGGUUCCUGUCCAACGUUAAUCGGGGCAGGGUGAGUCGACCCCUAAGGCGAGGCCGAAAGGCGUAGUCGAUGGGAAACAGGUUAAUAUUCCUGUACUUGGUGUUACUGCGAAGGGGGGACGGAGAAGGCUAUGUUGGCCGGGCGACGGUUGUCCCGGUUUAAGCGUGUAGGCUGGUUUUCCAGGCAAAUCCGGAAAAUCAAGGCUGAGGCGUGAUGACGAGGCACUACGGUGCUGAAGCAACAAAUGCCCUGCUUCCAGGAAAAGCCUCUAAGCAUCAGGUAACAUCAAAUCGUACCCCAAACCGACACAGGUGGUCAGGUAGAGAAUACCAAGGCGCUUGAGAGAACUCGGGUGAAGGAACUAGGCAAAAUGGUGCCGUAACUUCGGGAGAAGGCACGCUGAUAUGUAGGUGAAGUCCCUUGCGGAUGGAGCUGAAAUCAGUCGAAGAUACCAGCUGGCUGCAACUGUUUAUUAAAAACACAGCACUGUGCAAACACGAAAGUGGACGUAUACGGUGUGACGCCUGCCCGGUGCCGGAAGGUUAAUUGAUGGGGUUAGCGGUAACGCGAAGCUCUUGAUCGAAGCCCCGGUAAACGGCGGCCGUAACUAUAACGGUCCUAAGGUAGCGAAAUUCCUUGUCGGGUAAGUUCCGACCUGCACGAAUGGCGUAAUGAUGGCCAGGCUGUCUCCACCCGAGACUCAGUGAAAUUGAACUCGCUGUGAAGAUGCAGUGUACCCGCGGCAAGACGGAAAGACCCCGUGAACCUUUACUAUAGCUUGACACUGAACAUUGAGCCUUGAUGUGUAGGAUAGGUGGGAGGCUUUGAAGUGUGGACGCCAGUCUGCAUGGAGCCGACCUUGAAAUACCACCCUUUAAUGUUUGAUGUUCUAACGUUGGCCCCUGAUCGGGGUUGCGGACAGUGUCUGGUGGGUAGUUUGACUGGGGCGGUCUCCUCCUAAAGAGUAACGGAGGAGCACGAAGGUUGGCUAAUCCUGGUCGGACAUCAGGAGGUUAGUGCAAUGGCAUAAGCCAGCUUGACUGCGAGCGUGACGGCGCGAGCAGGUGCGAAAGCAGGUCAUAGUGAUCCGGUGGUUCUGAAUGGAAGGGCCAUCGCUCAACGGAUAAAAGGUACUCCGGGGAUAACAGGCUGAUACCGCCCAAGAGUUCAUAUCGACGGCGGUGUUUGGCACCUCGAUGUCGGCUCAUCACAUCCUGGGGCUGAAGUAGGUCCCAAGGGUAUGGCUGUUCGCCAUUUAAAGUGGUACGCGAGCUGGGUUUAGAACGUCGUGAGACAGUUCGGUCCCUAUCUGCCGUGGGCGCUGGAGAACUGAGGGGGGCUGCUCCUAGUACGAGAGGACCGGAGUGGACGCAUCACUGGUGUUCGGGUUGUCAUGCCAAUGGCACUGCCCGGUAGCUAAAUGCGGAAGAGAUAAGUGCUGAAAGCAUCUAAGCACGAAACUUGCCCCGAGAUGAGUUCUCCCUGACUCCCUGAGAGUCCUGAAGGAACGUUGAAGACGACGACGUUGAUAGGCCGGGUGUGUAAGCGCAGCGAUGCGUUGAGCUAACCGGUACUAAUGAACCGUGAGGCUUAACCUU